Molecule: ribosomal RNA, 401 nt
Filed under: Anaplasma platys
Lineage: Bacteria; Pseudomonadati; Pseudomonadota; Alphaproteobacteria; Rickettsiales; Anaplasmataceae
Description: bacterial SSU rRNA
Rfam family: Bacterial small subunit ribosomal RNA
Source: RNAcentral
CAAUGGGCGCAAGCCUGAUCCAGCUAUGCCGCGUGAGUGAGGAAGGCCUUAGGGUUGUAAAACUCUUUCAGUGGGGAAGAUAAUGACGGUACCCACAGAAGAAGUCCCGGCAAACUCCGUGCCAGCAGCCGCGGUAAUACGGAGGGGGCAAGCGUUGUUCGGAAUUAUUGGGCGUAAAGGGCAUGUAGGCGGUUCGGUAAGUUAAAGGUGAAAUGCCAGGGCUUAACCCUGGAGCUGCUUUUAAUACUGCCAGACUCGAGUCCGGGAGAGGAUAGCGGAAUUCCUAGUGUAGAGGUGAAAUUCGUAGAUAUUAGGAGGAACACCAGUGGCGAAGGCGGCUAUCUGGUCCGGUACUGACGCUGAGGUGCGAAAGCGUGGGGAGCAAACAGGAUUAGAUACCC